Long non-coding RNA from Sitophilus oryzae (rice weevil), 354 nucleotides. RefSeq lists it as uncharacterized. The transcript has 3 exons. Lineage: Eukaryota; Metazoa; Arthropoda; Insecta; Coleoptera; Curculionidae. The record is from RefSeq and is a predicted model, not a curated record.
AAACAUAUCGCUUUAUGGUGCUUUUCUAAGUAAUUAUGGCCAGGCAUUAGAUACAAUAAGAAAAUGCCGGGCCAGCAAUACACAAUUUGCUGAAAUUGCUGGGAAUGUUAUGUGCAAACAUUUAGCAGAUUUACCAAUUAAUUUGGAAGAUCUCCUUCACAGACCAGUUGCAAGGGUUCAGAAAAAUGCAUUGGUUUUGCAUGAUCUCCAAAAUGCAUUCCAGUUAACCAUCAGAUUACCAUAGCAUCACCGAUGCUUUGAAUAUGACCCAAAAUUUCUUGGAUCAGUUCAAUAUGAUACAGACAAAAUCAAUGUUUCCAUCAAAUGACAGAGCUCAAAGAAGACUGGUUAAGA